GAGUAAUGCAUCGGAACGUACCCCGUAGUGGGGGAUAACGCCGGGAAACCGGCGCUAAUACCGCAUAUGCUCUACGGAGGAAAGUGGGGGACCGCAAGGCCUCACGCUAUGGGAGCGGCCGAUGUCCGAUUAGCUUGUUGGUGGGGUAAUGGCUUACCAAGGCGACGAUCGGUAGCUGGUCUGAGAGGAUGAUCAGCCACACUGGGACUGAGACACGGCCCAGACUCCUACGGGAGGCAGCAGUGGGGAAUUUUGGACAAUGGGGGCAACCCUGAUCCAGCCAUGCCGCGUGCGGGAAGAAGGCCUUCGGGUUGUAAACCGCUUUUAGUCGGAAAGAAAAGGCGUCUCCUAAUACGAGGCGUUCUUGACGGUACCGGCGGAAUAAGCACCGGCUAACUGCGUGCCAGCAGCCGCGGUAAUACGUAGGGUGCGAGCGUUAAUCGGAAUUACUGGGCGUAAAGCGUGCGCAGGCGGUUCGUUGUGUCUGAUGUGAAAGCCCCGGGCUCAACCUGGGAACUGCAUUGGA
Molecule: ribosomal RNA, 526 nt
Filed under: uncultured beta proteobacterium
Lineage: Bacteria; Pseudomonadati; Pseudomonadota; Betaproteobacteria
Description: bacterial SSU rRNA
Rfam family: Bacterial small subunit ribosomal RNA
Source: RNAcentral